RNAcentral lists this ribosomal RNA (601 nucleotides) under Hysterangium sp. MEL2078287. Its description in RNAcentral is "eukaryotic LSU rRNA". It matches the Rfam family "Eukaryotic large subunit ribosomal RNA", at positions 65 to 643 of the family's 3401-position model. The record is from RNAcentral. Lineage: Eukaryota; Fungi; Basidiomycota; Agaricomycetes; Hysterangiales; Hysterangiaceae.
CUAACAAGGAUUCCCCUAGUAACGGCGAGUGAAGCGGGAAGAGCUCAAAUUUGUAAUCUGGCGGCUUCGAGUCGUCCGAGUUGUAGUCUGGAGAAGCGUUUUCCGUGCCGGACCGUGUACAAGUCCCUUGGAACGGGGCGUCGUAGAGGGUGAGAAUCCCGUCUCUGACACGGACUGCCGGUGCUCUGUGAUGCGCUCUCGAAGAGUCGAGUUGUUUGGGAAUGCAGCUCAAAAUGGGUGGUAAAUUCCAUCUAAAGCUAAAUACGGGCGAAAGACCGAUAGCGAACAAGUACCGUGAGGGAAAGAUGAAAAGCACUUUGGAAAGAGAGUUAAACAGUACGUGAAAUUGUUGAAAGGGAAACGCUUGAAGUCAGUCGCGUCUUCCGAGACUCAACCGGGUUCCUUACCCGGCGCACUUCUCGGUGUGACGGGCCAGCAUCGAUUUCGACCGUCGGAGAAAGGCUCGGGGAAAGUGGCACCUUCGGGUGUGUUAUAGCCCCGCGUCGUAUGCGACGGUUGGGAUCGAGGACCGCAGCGCGCCCUUCGCCGGGCCGGGGUUCGCCCACGUAACGCGCUUAGGAUGCUGGCGUAAUGGCUUUAA